UCAUAUGCUUGUCUCAAAGAUUAAGCCAUGCAUGUCUAAGUACAGACCGAUAUACAAGGUGAAACCGCGAAUGGCUCAUUAAAUCAGUUAUGGUUCAUUGGAUCUUACACGAGUUACUUGGAUAACCGUGGUAAUUCUAGAGCUAAUACAUGCAACUAAGCUCCGACCGCAAGGGAAGAGCGCAGUUAUUAGAUCAAAACCAAUCAGGUUCCUAGUCACCUGAUGAAGUUGUGAUGACUCUGAAUAACAUUGAGCUGAGCGCAUGGUCUCUGGACCGGCGCCGCAUCUUUCAAGUGUCUGCCUUAUCAGCUUGAUUGUAGGUUAUGUGCCUACAAUGGCUAUAACGGGUAACGGGGAAUCAGGGUUCGAUUCCGGAGAGGGAGCCUGAGAAACGGCUACCACAUCUAAGGAAGGCAGCAGGCACGCAAAUUACCCACUCCCAGUUCGGGGAGGUAGUGACGAAAUAUAACGAUGCGUGUCUCUAAUUGAGGCUUCGCAAUCGGAAUGAGUACACUCUAAAUCCUUGUACGAGGAUCAAUUGGAGGGCAAGUCUGGUGCCAGCAGCCGCGGUAAUUCCAGCUCCAAUAGCAUAUAUUAAAGUUGUUGUGGUUAAAAAGCUCGUAGUUGGAUGUCUAAUAUUGACUGAUGGUGCGCCUCUGGCGAUUACUGUCGGUUGAAAUAACUAGUCAGCUUGCAUGCGAUGCUCUUUAUUGAGUGUCGUGCGUGGCUGGCAUGAUUACUUUGAAAAAAUUAGAGUGCUCAAAGCAGGUUAAUGCCUGAAUAUGAUGCAUGGAAUAAUGGAAUAUGACCUCGGUUCUAUUUCGUUGGUUUACUGAACCUGAGUUAAUGAUUAAAAGAGACGGACGGGGGCAUUCGUAUUGCGACGCUAGAGGUGAAAUUCUAUGACCGUCGCACGACGUACA
Molecule: ribosomal RNA, 923 nt
Filed under: Paramysis nouveli
Lineage: Eukaryota; Metazoa; Arthropoda; Malacostraca; Mysida; Mysidae
Description: SSU rRNA
Rfam family: Eukaryotic small subunit ribosomal RNA
Source: RNAcentral